RNAcentral lists this long non-coding RNA (1680 nucleotides) under Triticum aestivum (bread wheat). RNAcentral describes it as "long non-coding RNA (TAES_LNC018781)". Lineage: Eukaryota; Viridiplantae; Streptophyta; Magnoliopsida; Poales; Poaceae. The record is from RNAcentral.
UUGCUCCCAAGUUCUGUUGAUAGAGAUGUAAGACUUUUUCUUUUGUUAACAUGAAUUUAGUUGAUUGUUAACAGAUUUGUCUGUAAGGUUUGAGGCCGCAUUUAACGGACUGAACAUUUUUUCUUUCUGAACUAUGAUCUUAUGGGAAGUAGCGAGAGUGCGGGACUAUGAUUUGGCUAUGGAGGCGUCACCUAACAAUUCUGCAUUCCAGGUAUAGUUUCUGAUCCUGAUGGCUAAAAAUAUAUAUUUCUACAGUUCUUAAUACAGUAAUAUCUAACGACAUUUGUAUGAAAUUAAUGUUGUUGCGAUUAAAUUCCAUGUGUAAGAGGAUCAGUUAGCGUGCUACAAUAAGAGCUCAUGAUCAGUUAACACACUAGAAUAAAACAUGGAGUAAAGAUGCUGGAAAAAAAUGCAUUCCUCGGUCAUAUGGUUACACAUGCGUUGCAUGUGCAUGGUUACUAUGUGCUCACGAAAUUCAUGAUUGAAAAUCCUAAUUCGGAUGGAGCAAAGUUUCUACAAACUUUAUAGAUACCGGUGUUUAACUUUUAUAUUAGGCAAAAUGAGCUCCUUUGCGAAACUGGUCGUACAAUUCAUUCUUCAGAAGUGCAUUUGUAAUAAAGAAUUCCAAUUUCUUGAUUUUCAGUAAACUGAUUGGGCCUCCCUUCCCAUUUUUUCCAGAAUCACCUCGCUUCCCAUUUUCAGAUACGGAGCUCUACAACAGAAUUCCAGUUUGUUCCUCUAUCAUUUAUGUUACAACUUGUUGUUGAUUCUUUUACAUUUCUUUGGUAACUUUAAGUGAAAGGCAACCUACAAUCGAGCAGCGAUUUACCAAAGAGCAGUUUAGAGUUUUCUCUUUCUUUUGUACAUUGUUGUUGUGCAUAAUUUGUUCUGUUAUAGAGCUUUGUUAGAAAAGCUGAUUUAACGCAUUGUUCGGCUUUAGAUUACUGCACCUUAUGGUUGUGAGUGGAUUUAAGAGUUAACAUGAUACAAUAUCUUUUUGAAAGAUGAUAGAUUAUCUCGACACAAGCAGGUGCCAUUUUUUGGCAGCGUCCACGAUUUCAGUGCACAUGAUUUACUACUGAAAUACUCAUGACUUACUAUUUGGCUAUACAUGUUUUACAGUAUUUUCUAGGUGUACUGAAAUUUCUGAAAUGGAGUUGUAUAUCUUGUUUCUUAAAUUUGCAUGAACCAGGAUUGUAUGGGAAUUAGUGUCGGUAUAUGCACAAGUUGCUGUAUGUCCGGUUGUAAAUGGGCUACAAAGAAAUCAGCUUUAAGAUCCUUUAGAACUGACAUGCAGACCAUGUUACGUUUUUGUCAUACAUAUAGUUGUAAGCUUUUCAUUUGGUCUCAAAUUUAAAUGAAGCUGACCAUUUUCAGUCCUUUUUUUGGGGUUGUCCACACAGGACAUACAGUACACGAGUCAUACAUACAGUUUUGAAUCUUCUACUAGCUGGAAAAAUUGAAUGAAUGCUAAUUGGUUUUCAGUCGAUCGUGAAAUAGAUAUAUUCCCUGAUGAAACUGAAACCUUUACCCUUUCUAAAUGUAAACUUGUGCCAUUAAUGCCGCAUUGUUCUUUGGGUCUGUUUUUUCUCACAAACUCAUAACAUGCUAGGAGAAGAAUCAUGUAGGCAGAUGAAUGUAAAUUAUGAAGCAUCUUAGCACCGUUUUUGUAUUUAUUAG